GAUUCCAACCGGGUCCAACCGGCCACAGCUGAGCCGGAGUUGAUGCAGGCCGCUGUACCACCGAUCCUGAUCCUGUUGUCGGCCUUGGAUGAUGAGGUUACCAGGAUCACUACUCUGCAGCUUACCAGUUCCGUCCUGCAGCUCCUCCACGCCGUCCUCCUCUCAACAGACUAAAUCUAGAUAAAGGAAGCAGGAAGCUGCUGUGGAUCUGCUGCAGUAUCUAGAGACGUCAGAGGAACGGUUCUUGGAACAGAUCUGAAGACACCGAGAUCCGACCACUGCCCUGCUCCAGAACAUCCAGAGGACGGAUGAAAAUUCAAACACCUUGGCUGGACUGAUGGGACGCAUGGUGUCAGUGCUGGAGCGACUGUCACAGAAAUAAACUGCAUUGUCCACUAUUCCUGCCUUUUAUAGAAAAAAUAAUCAUUUUUUUGUAAAUUCUUUUCCUUCUUAGCUAUUUAAGUACACUGGUAUUUUACUCUUGCACUUUGGGUGAAUAAAAAUAUAUUUGUGAUUUAAGAUGCGUGUUUUGUCUAUAAUCUACAGAGAUUUUAUUCAGUGUUAAGUGCACACUUCUACGUACACACAUUUUGACAGAUAAUCAGUUGUGGUUUUCAAGCAGAUUUCUAUCUGAAACAUAUCAGCAACGUAUAUUGUUUCUUACAACACAUGUCACACCAAGCUAGAUAAACUGCACUACUGCAGCAGAUGUAUUAUUUAAGUGUGCUUACAUUACAUGUCUACAUACACUACUCACAAAAAGUUACUCAACUUUAGGUGAAAUUUAUGGCAAUUGUAAAAAUUAAUGCUAUGGUGAUAUUAAAUCAUGAAAGUAGGGCAUUUAAGUAGAAACAUGCAAUAGUGAUUUCCUCAUCUCAAAGAAUUUAUUGAAACAAAAACUAACAGCA
Long non-coding RNA from Acanthochromis polyacanthus (spiny chromis), 908 nucleotides. RefSeq lists it as uncharacterized. The record is from RefSeq and is a predicted model, not a curated record. The transcript has 3 exons. Lineage: Eukaryota; Metazoa; Chordata; Actinopteri; Pomacentridae.